RNAcentral lists this ribosomal RNA (445 nucleotides) under uncultured bacterium. RNAcentral's name for it is "partial 16S ribosomal RNA". It matches the Rfam family "Bacterial small subunit ribosomal RNA", at positions 354 to 796 of the family's 1533-position model. The record is from RNAcentral.
GUGAGGAAUAUUGGACAAUGGGCGCAAGCCUGAUCCAGCCAUGCCGCGUGCAGGAAGACGCAUCUAUGGUGUGUAAACUGCUUUUGUACGGGAAGAAACACUCCCUCGUGAGGGAGCUUGACGGUACCGUAAGAAUAAGGAUCGGCUAACUCCGUGCCAGCAGCCGCGGUAAUACGGAGGAUCCAAGCGUUAUCCGGAAUCAUUGGGUUUAAAGGGUCCGUCGGCGGUUUAAUAAGUCAGUGGUGAAAGCCCAUCGCUCAACGAUGGAACGGCCAUUGAUACUGUUAGACUUGAAUUACAAGGAAGUAACUAGAAUAUGUAGUGUAGCGGUGAAAUGCUUAGAUAUUACAUGGAAUACCAAUUGCGAAGGCAGGUUACUACUUGUGGAUUGACGCUGAUGGACGAAAGCGUGGGGAGCGAACAGGAUUAGAAACCCUUGUAGUCC